UUAUUUGUAAAUUUUAUACAGUAAAAUAAAAUCUCUUAGGGAUACAGUUCUAUAAGCUUUGACACGUGCAUGGAAUCACCAUAAUCAUGAAAAAAGCAUUCUAUUGAAUGCCCUUACUUGGCUAUAGGCAAGCGUUCCUACAGUUCCAGUCCUUGGAAACCUUGAUUUUCAUCCCUAUAGUCGUCUUUUUCAGGUUGUCGUGGAAAGGGAAAAAAGUACCUUCUGAAUCUGUCUCCUUUAUUUAUUUAGGUUUGGGGGUCACACUUGGUGAUGCUCAGGUGAUGCUUACUCCUGGGUCUGCAUCCAGGGAUCACUCGGGGGACCAUAUGGGUGUCAGGGAUUAAUGCAAGGCUAACGCCCACCAGCUAUACUAUCACUCCAGCCCCUUAUUUAAGCAUUUAUUAAAGUAUUGCAAUUCAGAGUUCACCUCCCAAAUGAGCUAAAACUGACAUUCAUUUAAUCGUCACAGCUUUGGGGAAUAUACCUAUUUUUCAGAAAUGGAAAUUCAGAGAAGUGACCAGGAUAUGGAACAAAUGUGUCACAAAGUCGGCAUUUGUUUGCUCACCUGCUUAAUUUCAAACACAAGAUUUUUCUCAAGUGGUUAUUUGAAUUCAGCUUAAUUUUGUUCAGGUUUCUUCAGCUCCUAGCCUAGUUUCUGGCACAGAAUAUCUCAAACAAGACAGGCAUUUGUGGCCUCCUGCUGUUUGUAAAGUUUUCGUGUUCUGCAAAAAGUUGAACUGAUUAGCAAGGGGCAACAGAGAAGACGAAAAUCGGCAAGGCUGGGAAGAGAUCACGUCACUCCCAAGCUUUAGUUGACAUAUCUCUAUGGUUAUUACGUGACUUCUCUAGACUCUGGAGGACUCAACUAGAGAAAGCCAAUCACGAAGUCAGUUUCUGUGCACGUGUCCGGAAGUCGAAUCGCUACUGGUCAGCAGUGGGAAAGCCCGCCCUACCACGUCCGGUCUGUUCUUUUAAGUGAGGGCCGUACAGCGCGCUCGUCCUUUCUGCGGCUCUGCGGAGAUCCCGCCGGCCGAGGACGUCGGUUUCCGCCCCUCCCCAGAAGACACCCCCUCCCCCCCCGCUCCACACGCCCCCGGUGAAUAAAAAGCUUUGAUCCCA
Molecule: long non-coding RNA, 1119 nt
Organism: Sorex araneus (European shrew)
Lineage: Eukaryota; Metazoa; Chordata; Mammalia; Eulipotyphla; Soricidae
Exons: 2
Source: RefSeq, a predicted model, not a curated record